GUGGUGCUAAGGAAUCGAACCCAGGGCUUCUUGCAUGGUAGGCAAGCACUCUACCGCUAAGCCCAGCCCCAAGCCCCACAAUCCCAGCCCCUCUUCUAUUUCUUUAAAUAGAAAAUGGAUUGCAUAAAGAAUAUAAGUAGCUCAAAGAAUCUUUCUAGAUUUUUUUUAGAGUUUUCCUGAAAAAAAACACAAAAAAAAACCAAUGUAGGCUGACUUUCCAAGCAUAGGCUGCCAGAAGGACACUUUUGCAACACUCAACAAUGAAGCUGCUGGCUGGAUGAGGAAGUGCUAAACAACUGCCAGCUCCAGAAACACACCACCUCUGCUGUACUCUGCCAGCAAAAAUGGACAACUCAUUUUCUGCCUACCUCCCCAUCUAAGUGCUGAGCAAAAGUCUCAGCUUCCCUGAGGAAUCAAGAUAAACUUACAGAGACCCAGAGUUAAAAGAUGAACUUCAUUGUGUUUAUUGAAGAUUUUUAUCUCCUGAAGAACCUAAUAGAGAAGGCCUCCUUUAUCCUCAACUGAAUAUUUUUUUCUUUCAACUCAUCAGUUCUUGUUGAAAUUGCAGACUGUGGUAUAUUUAAGUAAAAUGCAAAGUUUGUUUUCUUUGUUCUUUAUAGGUGAUAUUAUAAGAAAACCAUCAUAACUAUCUCUCUUAAAAGUGUGAUGUUUAAGGGAAGUUACAUCUUCCCUUUGUUUUUUAUUAAAGUAAAAUAUCAUUAGCAGGAUUCAAAUCUUUCUCUACCCUACUUUUAAGCUUGUUUCCUAAAUGAGUAUGAAUCCAAAACCAUGCCUUAGAAGAUCUAAGAACUGAGCCAGAACAAGCAACAGCAACAAGAAAUGAAAACCUCAGACUAUAUUUUUGCAAAAUCUGAACCUAGAAUUUCCAGCACUGCCAGCUGCUUAUCAAGACAGCAAAAUAAAACCAGUGACACUUUUGAUUUUAGAUAUUUAGAGUUUUUCAAAUAUUACCUAUUGCAUUGUGUUGAAAAAAUAACUACAUUUGAUGUUUACAGAUGAUUACAGAUUUCAUUGCAGUUUUUGAAUAUACAUUUUAAUCACUAUCCUGCAUAUGUUUGUUAUAUGGUAAUUCAAUCAUGAAAUACAAAGAAGCCAGAUUUUGAGAGGUUGAAUCGGGAGUCUUUAUUAGAAAGCUGCCAACUGGUAGCAGACACAUUUCCCCCUCAAAAACUUGCAGCUUUGAAUAUACUUAAUACUGUGAGGAAACUCAGCCAUGAGGGUAGCAAAGAAAGAUCAGAAAAACAAUCUCAAACCAGAUCAUCUCUAAUGGAGAGUUGAAGAGGGAUGCUGUGUGACCCGCGGAGAGUCUGGGGACACGAGGCAUGGCAUAAAAUGGCAGCUGAGGUGCUGAGGCCUAAAUAGGGUCAUGGUCAGGGGGCAGGAUGGAGAGUUCAGAGUCUCGAGUUCAUGAUAUAAGUCAUGGCUGGUUUAGUACCUAUUGUUCCAGUUCCCAUCCAGCCUCUAGGAAUUCAGGUGCAUCUAUCUCCUGGGAGUGGGGUUGGGAUUUCAUUUCUACAUUACAAAGUCCCUCAUCCCCCAACAUGCCAGGAUAGCACAGUUAGACCAGUAUCCACAUCUCAUGUUGACAAUAAUGAAUGCUCUCCAACAGCUGGUAUGUCAUCCAGUCUUUUGACGAUGUACUUUCUUCACCCACCCCACCCUUCUUGCUUAGUAAUUCUUCCUCUUGCCAUCAAAACUCUGGAACCUUUGGAACCAAGGUUUGUUUAUAAUUUAUAAUCUGGUAUAGAUAGUAGUUUUGACUUUUCCAAUUCUUAGUCGUGACUUCAAAAUUAUAACUGGGCUGAGUGAUUUAAAAAUAAUAGAGAAAAGAUUCUAUGUAGUCCUUUUGACAAGCUCCUAUGAGUUGUUGGUUAUUAGCAUGUUAUUUCUAUUUUAGUACUUUUUGAAUGUUCUGUUUCAAUGACAUCAGAGUAUAAGUGAUUAAAUAAAUCCCUAUCCUUACUUUAGAUUCUCUAUGUGUGGGAUAUGAAACACAUAUGUAGCCCUAGUCAUGCUGUACCAUGUUGUUCUAUCUACUUUUGUGGUCCACUCUGACUCUUUGUUACAGUGAUUUAGGUUUGCUUUAUUUUUAACUCUGUCAGAAGUUGCUAUUUCUACUUUUUAAAUUCUUCCUUAUUUAAGUGGUGAUAGCUAAUUUCUCUUUUUGAAAAACAUAUGCACCAUGUCCUUUAAUAUUUUAAACCUUUAGGUGGUAAUAUUUUUGUUAAGCACAACCAUUAAAACUUCUAACAAAUUUA
Molecule: long non-coding RNA, 2279 nt
Organism: Perognathus longimembris pacificus (Pacific pocket mouse)
Lineage: Eukaryota; Metazoa; Chordata; Mammalia; Rodentia; Heteromyidae
Exons: 2
Source: RefSeq, a predicted model, not a curated record